UAAGACGGAGGGUGCAAGCGUUACUCGGAAUUACUGGGCGUAAAGGGUCCGUAGGCGGCGCGACAAGUUGGAUGUGAAAUCCCUCGGCUUAACCGAGGAACUGCGUCCAAAACUGUCGUGCUUGAGGAUGGUAGGGGACAGUGGAACUCACGGUGGAGCGGUGAAAUGCGUAGAGAUCGUGAGGAACGCCGGUGGCGAAAGCGACUGUCUGGGCCACUCCUGACGCUGAGGGACGAAAGCUAGGGUAGCGAACGGGAUUAGAUACCCCGGUAGUCCUAGCCGUAAACGAUGGGCACUAGCUUGCGGGAACUUCGGUUCUCACUUGCGUAGCUAACGCGUUAAGUGCCCCGCCUGGGGAGUAUGCGGGCAACCGUA
RNAcentral lists this ribosomal RNA (375 nucleotides) under uncultured bacterium. RNAcentral's name for it is "bacterial SSU rRNA". It matches the Rfam family "Bacterial small subunit ribosomal RNA", at positions 521 to 896 of the family's 1533-position model. The record is from RNAcentral.